CAGUAGCCGCGGUAAUACAGAGGGUGCGAGCGUUAAUCGGAUUUACUGGGCGUAAAGCGUGCGUAGGCGGCUAAUUGAGUCGGAUGUGAAAUCCCCGAGCUUAACUUGGGAAUUGCAUUCGAUACUGGUUAGCUAGAGUGUGGGAGAGGAUGGUAGAAUUCCAGGUGUAGCGGUGAAAUGCGUAGAGAUCUGGAGGAAUACCGAUGGCGAAGGCAGCCAUCUGGCCUAACACUGACGCUGAGGUACGAAAGCAUGGGGAGCAAACAGGAUUAGAUACCCCUGUAGUCCCUGUCUCUUAUAC
This 301-nucleotide ribosomal RNA is filed under the name uncultured bacterium. Its description in RNAcentral is "partial 16S ribosomal RNA". It matches the Rfam family "Bacterial small subunit ribosomal RNA", at positions 509 to 807 of the family's 1533-position model. The record is from RNAcentral.